GCUUUCCGUAUGGAUGUUUUCAACCUCAUUUGUUUUAACAUAGAUAGUGUUGAAACUUAUGAAGUGUUCGGUGGCAUUUUCAACUCCAUAUUUACUCAUCAUGGUCCUCUCUACUAGUUUCCCUGCAAAAUUUGAACGUAAAAACGGUAAGCAUCAGAAGUUCUGAUUUCUAGACAAUUAUUGGAGUAAAGUACAUGGAUAGUCCUUGUCAUUAACCAUAUUUUUGGAUUUGGUCCAUAGCUUUUCAAAAGUACAAAGUGCAAACCACAGGGACGGCAUGUGUACUUUUGGAAAUCUAGGGAGUAGGGACCAAAUCCAAAAUUUUGGUCAACCACAGAGACUAUCCGUGUACUUUAACUCUUUAAGUCUUUACUCCAAUUAUUGUGAUAAACCGGAGAAAAUGAUACUAACCAAUUUCUUCGGUUUCUCCCUUAAGCAUUGUAGUUUGGUUUGCUACACCAGCUUUGACUAGAUCAGUGUCGGGAUCGAAACCCUUGGAAACUGCGUAUUUAAAUUUCUGCAAGUAUCCAAAAUUUUGUAACUGUGUUAAGAUCUUUAAAACAUAAAUAAGAAAUCAGUAAUUAUUAAUAAAUAGGAUUUAACAAGUAUAUACCUCCAGAAAAGCUUCUUUAGUUGAGCUAGAUCCGUUAAGUUUACCACCAAGGAUGUAAUCACACACAUAUGUCGCCUACGCGACAUAGAAAAGAAAACUCGUUAGUUCAGAUGUAAGAUGGUGGAUAAGGUGGUGUUAGUUUUCUAAGACGUUACUGACGGAAAUCCGAAAACAUCUUCUAAACUAUGAAAGGCGGUGCUGAAAUAUGAAAGUAUAAUCAUUUUAGAAGUUUUGCUUUCGUAACUAAAUAAAUGUUUGAACUUUGAAUGUUUGUAGUUGUCUAUUUUCCCCUUCAAUUUAGAGUUAAUUACGUUUUUGUCCCUGUGGUCUGUUGAAAAUAACAGUUACAAUCCAUUAGUUUAAAAGUUGCCAUGGCAGUAGCUUGGUUUACUAGUGUUGCUUUGGCAAUUUUUAAACUAAUGGAUUGUAAUGGGUAUUUUCAACAAACCACAGGGACGAAAAACAUAAGUAACCAUUUGUUUAUAUAUUGUUUUUCAAAGAGGGGUAUUUUGGUCUUUUCACCAAAAACUUAACGGUAAACUGGAUGGGGUUAACAGAGAUGGACUGUAAUUGUCAUUUUCAACAAACCACAGGGACAAAAAAAACAUAACUAACUCUUAACUCAUUAUACUCAAAACACAAAUUUCAUUUGAAGUUUCAUGAAAUGUUCAUAAAUAUUUUAAUGAUGUGGAUGACUGCAACAGCAUUAAAGAACAAG
RNAcentral lists this long non-coding RNA (1331 nucleotides) under Helianthus annuus (common sunflower). RNAcentral describes it as "hypothetical non coding rna". Lineage: Eukaryota; Viridiplantae; Streptophyta; Magnoliopsida; Asterales; Asteraceae. The record is from RNAcentral.